GUCCUGAGGGAGGGAAAGGAGACAAGUGGAACUCCUGGCCCUCCACUUUCCUUCUCCCUCCCCGGAAACAUCCAGCCUGUGCCUUUGUGGCCUCUCGGGCUGGGUUGCAAUCUCACGCCAACCCCGCUUGCUGGUUGUCAGGAGGCCCUCUGGGGAGGACGCUGCAAGAGCCUCAAAUGCCACCUACUCCCGGCCUCUCUCCCAGUUGAUGUUUCUAUUUUGGGCACCACAUUAUUUCCUGCUGUGAUUUUUUUUCAGGCUUCUAAUUCGGGCUCUGAGGAAAAACAAAACCAAAGAAUGUUAUCCAGUCACAGGAGAGCACACCUGUAAUCCCAGCGUUUGAGAAGGGGACUCCGGAAGGUCAGAAGUUGAAGGUCACCCUCUAGCUCAAGGCCAGACCCGGCUACAUGAAACGUUGAUGAAUAAAACACUGAUUGGCCAGUAGAAGCCGGAAGAUAGGCGGGGCUAGGAGAUGAGGAGAAUGCUGGGAAGAGAGGCAGAGAGGCCUCGAAGAGACUCUACGUAGAGACGUAGAGGUGAGGGAGAUGGGAGAUGGGACGUACCAGGCGUUCUCUGGUAAGAUAAGGCCAUGUAGAAAUACAUAGAUUAGUAGUUAUGGGAUAAUAAUUAAGAGAGAGCUAGCCAGUAAGAAGCCCUAGCCAUCGGCCAACAAUUUAUAAAUGAACUUUGUGUGUGUUUAUUUGGGGCUAAUCAGCUGUGGAACCAGAGUAGAAAGAAACUCCAGCAACAGAACUAGAUGAAGCAGCCUGUGGCAAAACCUGCCAGGGAAUUAUGCCCAUAUUCUUCAAGUAUAAGCUGGUACAAGUGCAGAAGAUGGAAGUGAAUGACUAAGCAGACGAGACCAAGUGUUUGAGACCAUGGGAGUAACGACACUAAGUUAGGACUGAACACAGAAAGGCGGGGAGAACUUGGCAACCUAGGUGCUAGAACAGCCCGAACAAAAGCUCUGAGUUGGGCAAGUGGUAUGUGUACACAGGAACUGGAAACUUCUCGAAGCCUUUAGGGCCUGGAGGGAAAGUUCAGCCCAGCAUCCAGGAUGGAUUGGACAUUGGCAGACGAGUGGGCAGUGAACGGCUGGGCUCUAGUUGCAGUGUCUGUCUGAAAAGAGCUCCACUUUCCAGCCCUUCCUUAAGCCUCGCAGUGCUACAGAAAGAAAGCAGCGCUGCACUUCUCCCCUCAGAGCACAGAGCCUGAAGAGAGCCCCUCACCCUCCAUCUCUCUUGUUAGCAGAGGCCCAGAUUCAGGGCAGCCUUGCUGGGCCCCGUGGGCCCAUGGGGCCCUUGUUUUGUGCUUUCUGCAGCUCCACAGCCUGCCUUGUUUAUUUGUUCAGCAGGUUUAUUUCAGCCAUGGCACAGCCUGUUCCGACUCUGGAACAUUUAUGAGAUGAGCCAAUUUUUAAAAAUCAUACAAAAUAAAUGAUUUUCUCUUGGAGCUAAAGGGUGGGGCUGCCAGGGUGGGAGACAGGUUUCUGGCCAGCUUUGGGCAGAGUUUUGGCUUAUCCUUCGAUGUAUUCUUUCCCCUUCUUGCCCAUGGGAACCAAGGGGACUGCAAUGGGAUUUCCUGCCUCUAUUUCUCCAGACUAUGAUGUGGAAAGAUUGGAACAUUCAACCGUAAGAUUUCCGGUUCUCAUCUCCACCCUCAUUAGUUCCAUUCCAAAGCCUGGCUCUAAAUGACUGCAUCUAAGCCACAUCUAAUUGAUCAGGCUCGGGAUGGAGAUGUCAUAAUCAGACCUGGACCACUCCAACCCCUCUGACAGCAGCUUCCCCCUGCCUCUUUGCUCGUGAAUUCUGGCUUGAUCCUUCAAAGUCCAGCUGUCACCUCAUCAGCUCUAAACCCUACUGUAUUCCUCUUAGCUGGCCAGCUAUUUAAAAUAAUUUUUUAAAGUCCAAGACAGCUAAAAUGCUGAAUUCUUUUGCUUUUUUUUUCCUUGGGGAGGAGGGGUGUUCCAGACAGAGUUCCUUUGUGUGUAACCCUAGCUGUCCUGGAACUUUCUCUAUAGACCAGGCUGGCCUCAAACUCAGAGAUCUACCUGCCUUUGCCUCCCAAGUUUUGGAAUUAAAGAUGUGCACCACUGCAGACCGGCAUUCUUUCCCUUUUUUUGUGGGGGGGGACUGGUUGUUAACUCAGCUGAGUAAUGUCAGUUAGCUCAGCUGGUCUGAAGCACCUAUUUGUAGCUAUGUAAAUAUUUGAUAGUGAAAAGCCUAGACAUUAAUGAUUAAUACUUUCAAUUUGGGGGUCAACAAAACACUUUAUUGAAACCUUAGGCAGGUGUAACUGUAAUCCCAGCACUCAGGACUGAGGCAAGAAAACUGAGAAUUCAAGGCUAGCCUGGGCUACAUAGCAAAACUGAUUAAAAAUAAAAAUAGAAAACAAAGUCCUGUGCCCCAAAGAGCUGGAAAAAAAAUUCUUUAAGUACCCCAGAGGGUGGGUAAGAGGGAGUCUUUGAAAGGAAAUCAAUAGAUCCCAGCUGGCCUUUGCCAUGUGCCUGCCUCAUUAUCCUAAAAGACCAGGUGCUCAGUGGGCACCAUCAGGGCCCUCUGUAUAGAUGGCUGAGGCUGAUGGCCCUCUCUGGCUCCUUGGAUCACUGCAGCCAUGCCGACCCCAGCUAGUAGUCCCAUCAGAACACAUUUAGGACUGUCCCAGCCCCAGGCCCAGGCUGCCUAAUUGAUG
Molecule: non-coding RNA, 2691 nt
Organism: Cricetulus griseus (Chinese hamster)
Lineage: Eukaryota; Metazoa; Chordata; Mammalia; Rodentia; Cricetidae
Source: RefSeq, a predicted model, not a curated record